CGCAGCCAAUGGCGUUGGGGCUGGCGGUUGUGGCGAGCGGCCCCCGAGGACGCGGUCCCGCAGUGCUCGCUCGGGCCCUGCGCUCGUCGCGGUGCUGCCGGUUCGCUGUGCCCGCGGUGCGGCCCGGCCCGGUGCUGAGCGGGGCGGUGGGCGCCGGAAGCUGUCCCAAUGGCCUCAAAAGCACAAAGUGAGGAUGCAGAACAUGCAGCUGAGCCUCCUGCAGCUCCUGUGCAGAGGGACAGGACAUUCCAGUGGGGAGCCAUCCUUGCUGCAGUGAAGGACCAGCUCCCAUCUCUGGACUCUGACUCCUCCACAUCUGAUUGUGAGAGUGAUGAGGAGCUUUUCAUCUUCCAGAGGGACCUGCCAAACUUAAUUCCGGACCUGUCAGAAGAACUGAUGAUGUUUUCCCUGGAAGACUCCCAGGAGCAGCAAAUCCAGGAGACAGAAAGGCUUUCAUGGGAGAUCUGGAACGGAGACCUGGAAAGUUUUGACUUUCAGGAAGAAACAGAUGGUGCCCAAAUCAUUGCAAAAGAAGAUGUACAAAUGAUUAAAGAUGAAGCUCCUGAACCUGCCAGCCAGACUGAAGAAAUGCCAAGCCAAAAGAGAGCUGUUCUUGAAGAGUCUCCCUCAGAUUCCACAGAUCACCUUGAGGAGAAAGAGAUGGGCAGGACACAGGCCAAGGAAAAGGGGAACUCCUGGCUUAACACAGCAGUGUCUGUGGAGGAGCUGUUCAGUAAAAAGGAGAGAAAAAAGCUGAUAGAGACAAAAAUACUCUCCAAGGUCAUUGUGAAGCCAUCCCCAAAGCAGGAUGUCAAGCCUCCCUCCCAUGGUAUUAACAAUGGUCUAGGAAGUCUUGCAAAGGAAGAAACCUCAGCUGAGCAUCUUGGAGAAGCCACCCAUUUGUCAUUGCAGAAUAUUGAGAAAUGGGAUGUGGACAAGAAUCUUGAGGAGCUGGAGCAGCAGGGAGAUAAAACUUGUGCAGAAGUUGCUUUCUUCCCAGCAGAUUAUGAGACUUUGAGGAGGAAGUCUGAAUGUGAGCUCAUGGAAAGGCUGGGAGAGCUGUGUGCCAGGCAGUCCAGGGCAGCAUCCCCUCCCUGUGGGAGGCCACCAGCCAAGCUCUGCUCCUUCCAGGGACAGCAGGACAAUAAGGAUGUUGCCUUGCUGUCAUCCCCACCAAGUUCUCUGAGGAUGGACAGGAUGAAUUUCCAGGGCCUGCCAAAACCUGCAACUGUGUUCAUUGAUUUAAGAGAUGCUGAGCCACAAAAGUCAGUGACAGUCCCUGAAGAGGAGCAAAGUGCAAGUGACAGCUCCUCCUCUGAAGAAGAAGAGACUGUGAUAAUUAAGGAUGCAGCAGAAAGGAGAAUGAGGAAUUGCUCAGGGAAGAGCCUGUUACUGCAACAACUCCAAGCAGCCCGUAAGGAGGCCUUGGAGCAUCUUCAUAUAGUGUCUGCUCCAGCUGAGAAACUGCAUCCAGAAAGGCUGGAAGACAGAGGUUCCUCUAAUAAAAGUCAAAACCAAUCUUGUAAAGUGAGUCAAGAGAUAAAUGAGCUGGUUCCCAGGAAACUGAUGAGACUGGAACCAGGCAAGGAAAGUUCCUCCUUUGCAAGCUGUGGGGACAACAGAGCUCACACAGAGAAAGAGAACAAAAUGGGAGCUGAGAAGAAUCAAAAUGCAGCAAAUGCUCCAGAGUGCCAUCUAAUUACAGCAGAAUUGCCAAGGAGAGAAGGAAGUGAAAGAGAGCUGUCCCAAAAGGAAGAGGAGAUGAAGGAGAGGCAGAGGAGGUGCAGAUUGCAGGAGCAGCUGGAGCAGUGGCAGCCUCAGCGCUCGGUGCGUGGGAAGCAGCCCAUGGCAGAGAACACCCCACUCCUGUUCCACAUGGCAAUGGUGCUGACAUCAACAUUGGAAAUUGCCCUUUCCUUCCAUCUCUGGGUUGUUUGAGGACGUUGUGGAUCCUGGGAUCCCAACCCAGCUCCUCACCUGCUGGACCUGGGCUCCUCCUCAGCUCCACUGGAGCUGCUCACAUGGCUGCACUGAGGUGAUGGCCUCAGCACUAUUCAAAAAUACACCACUUUUAUUGCUGGGUGGAAAAUGCAGAAAGGAAAAGGACUAUAAUAAAGUCCAGUUAAUGUCUCCA
Long non-coding RNA from Parus major (Great Tit), 2134 nucleotides. Lineage: Eukaryota; Metazoa; Chordata; Aves; Passeriformes; Paridae. The record is from Ensembl.